UACGUAGGGGGCGAGCGUUGUCCGGAAUCAUUGGGCGUAAAGGGCGCGUAGGCGGUUGGUUAAGUCAGGGGUGAAAUCACUGGGCUCAACUCAGUGGCUGCCUUUGAAACUGGCUGACUGGAGUGCGGGAGAGGAAAGCGGAAUUCCUGGUGUAGUGGUGAAAUGCGUAGAUAUCAGGAAGAACACCAAUGGCGAAGGCAGCUUUCUGGACCGUAACUGACGCUAAUGCGCGAAAGCGUGGGGAGCAAACAGG
Molecule: ribosomal RNA, 253 nt
Filed under: uncultured bacterium
Lineage: Bacteria
Description: partial 16S ribosomal RNA
Rfam family: Bacterial small subunit ribosomal RNA
Source: RNAcentral